RNA transcript from Amaranthus tricolor (Joseph's coat), 16649 nucleotides. RefSeq lists it as uncharacterized. The transcript has 9 exons. NCBI's taxonomy places the organism in Eukaryota, Viridiplantae, Streptophyta, Magnoliopsida, Caryophyllales, Amaranthaceae. The record is from RefSeq and is a predicted model, not a curated record.
ACUACGCUACGUAAACAAUUCAAAACGGGUCCCCGUGUCUACUCCUAUAAAGAGGCAUUCAGUAUGUAGAUAUUUUUCUCGCUCUUCUUCUUCCGCUUGCCAAACCCCGUGGAAAUUUUGUUGAGGAAUUCUAUCAAUUGAAUAUUCAGACCUUCAAUAUUGGUAUAUGAGAAUAGUUUUGAGGAAAGCAACUUUUAUCAUAAAUGGCUCUUUAUUUGAUAUUUACAAAGUUGGUUAUGUCUCUGUGCUGCUCCGUGUUUGUGUGCAACUACAUUCUUGAUGCUGAGACAACGAAGCUUGUGUUUUGAGAGUACCUGUAUUCAGAAUGCUAAAUGAAGGUUUUACACAAGAGGAUUUUUGUUGUGGCAAGUUUCGUGCAUGAAGAGAUCAGGAGUUGCUGCCUUAACAUUUCCACCUCCUUUUGCCAGAACUACCAAAUACAGCUAUGUAUCAGAUAUUGCUUCUCUUAAAUCUGUCAACUGUCAACACUCAACACUGAGAUUUACAGGUGCUUUUUGAGGAAUGGAUCAGAUGUGAAGAUUUUCCAGAGCUGUGUAGUCUUCGAUCAAUAUACAGGACACAAGCUGAGUUCAAUGAUGUUGUGUUUCUUGUUUUGACAUGGUCUUGUAAUUCUUCCUUCUUCAAGGUGAAGCUAGAGCGAGUUCGAUGGUGGUAUGAACUGUUUUCUCAAUUUGCAAUACUCGUUUUGAGGAUUUUCAGGUCUGUUCAAAUGUUAUCAUGGAUAACAUAAAGUUGUUUUCAAAGUUGAUAUCAAUUUGAAGGUGGUAAGAACCUGGAAUCUACAUUCUUUGUAUCAUAUUUUAUAUUUAAUAAUCUCAUGGCAUUUGUUUAUAUUUGAUGAAUUCAAAUGAUCAAAUGUUGUGAGGCCUAAGUUUCUCUUUUGCUUUCUUUAUCAUUGGUUUCGCUUGCAGGCCAUCAUCUAGGAUAAGGAGUUUGCAUUGGGGAGGCUUCACUCUCUAAGAAUAAACUUAUAGUUGGUUAUUUCAGGAGAGUGUGUAGUCACCCAACGCAAACUCCUUAUUCUGGAUCGCUUGGAAGCGAGACUAAUUGUAAAGAAAGCCAAAGAGGAACGUAGGAUCAGAUGGGAAAGAUUGAAAGAGGAUAAUGCUGAAGUUUUUGCCGAAAAAGUUGUAAAAGUAGCUGAUUAACCUUGGAUACGGAGGAUACCAAGAAAAAGGUGAAAAAUUGUAUCACUUGAAUAGCUAAGGAUACAACAUGGUAGAAUAAGGGAUAGGGAAAACUUAGCCAAGUAUAAGGAAAUUGAAACCAAGACAAAAGAAAUAGUUCACAAGGAGAAAUUAACGGGCUUUAAAGAAGUGUUUGAGAAACAAGAUUCCAAAGAAGGAAAAAGGUUAUUUAUCGAAUGGCAAAAGGUAGGCAAGCAAAAACUAAUGACAUAAUUGUAGUAAAGUGUAUUAAGAUAAGGAUAAGAAGAUUCUACUUCAAAAAGAGAGCAUCAAGGAUCUGUAUAUAUAUAGAUGUAGUACGAGCUAUUUAUUGGUGAACAAGAAAAUGUUGUACGAGAUACAUCAAUCACUCCCUUGGAAGAAAAUAGAGAAUUUAUGCGAAGAAUACAAAAAACAAAGGUGGAGGGGGAUUUAAAGAAAGUCAAGCUAAAGAAAGUGGUUAGGUCAAAUGGUAUACGUGUUGAGGUAUGGAGAUGUUUGUAGAUGAUUGGAGUAACUUGACUAACUGAUCUAUAUGUCAAUUUUGGAAGGACAAACAAGAUUCCCAUUGAAUGGAGAAGAAGUACUCUAGUACCCAUUUACAAGAAUAAGGGAGAUGUCCAAGACUGCUCCAACUACCGAGACAUAAAACUCAUGAGCCAUAGAGUGAUAGAAACACAUAUGAGGAGAUAUACCAGCAUAUAGAGAACCAAUUUGGAUUUAUGUCUGAGAGAUCUACUAUGGAAGCAAUUCAUCAUAUGAGACAAUCGAUGAAUAACUAUAGGGUAGGAAGAAGAUAAUUGAACAUGAAUAUUAUUGACUUGGAAAAACAUACAAGGUACAAAGAGGAUUGCUUUGGUGGGUAAUGACAAAAAAGGGUAUUGCCAAGAAAUAUAUUAAUGUAAAGCAAGAUAUAUAUCAAAAUGGAGACAAAUGUAAGAACAUGUGGAGGGUCAACAAAGGUUUUUUCAAACACAAUUAAGCCUUCCAUCAAGGAUUGGUCAUAAGUCCCUUUCUUUUUGCAAUGACCCUAAAUGAGAUAAUUGGAUGAUAUAAAGAGACGUGCUUGAUGCAUGUUGUUUGUAGGCGAAAUUGUUUAGGUAGAUGGGACUGAGGUGAGGGUAAAGGCUAAGCUAAAACAAUGGAGACAAGAGUUGGAGUCAUGAAGGUUUAAAUCAAGUUGGAGUAAGACAAAGUACAUGAUGUGUAACUUUAGCACAAAUAAGAUAAUAAUAGGUAUGUCAUGAAUGGCUUAAUAGGGGUAAUGUAGGCAUACUUAGUAAAUAAUAGUCCAUCUUGUAAUUAGUAGUUUAAAUUUUGUUUUUGGUAUAGCUAUUUUUUUAGGGAAAGUGGUUAGGUAGUUAGAAGCCUAUAUAUAGGGCUAGUGUGUCAAAUAAUGGAGAGAAAAGAUUACUCUCUUGUGUCUUUCUUGAGUAAUUUGUCUAAUUCCCAGCUAAUGAACGAAGGGAGGUAGAAUUAUUCAAGAACUGAACAUCAAAGGCAGUAACGCCUCAAUUAGUACCGGAAACAGGGGCAAAAUCGUAUCAACAGCAGAAAUACAUUCAAGAACUGACCGGCAGAGGUAGAAGCACCUCAAUUGGUACUGGGAGCAGGGGUAGAAUCAUAACAAGGUAUUACAAAGCUAGAAGAGAAAGAAUCACUCUUAAGCGGAUCCUAAGAAUACCUUGACUCCAUAUUUAAGAGUAGCGGAGACAUUAAAGCUAGAGGGAUAAUUUUGCCAAAUGACCAUUAGUCCAACGCUACUACAUGGAUCAGAAUGUUGGGCUUUUAAAAAGGAUCAUUGUAGGAAGAUAGAAGUACUAGAAAUGUGCAUGCUUCAAUAAAUGAGAAGGCAUACCUUUAUGGAUAUACCGCGAAACAAAAAUAUCAUAAAGAGUUUAGGAUUUGUAAAUAUUUAGGAAAAAAAUGAAAAAGAGUCAUUUAAGAUGAUUUAGGCAUGUGCAAAGACGGGGUAUUAGCGAGUCGAUAACGAUGAUAGAAAUUUGGAACUCAAAGGACUUAAAGAGAUGGUGUGGAAGACCGAAGAUGGCAUCGAGGGCAAGAGAGAAAGAGAUAUGAAGGAUUUAAACUUACAAAUUGAGAUGGUAAAAAAUUGAAAUGAAUGGAGAAGAAGAAUCCAUGUGGACAACCAUUGGAACUUAUAUAUUGAUUCAUGUAGUUGACCCCAAUCUUUUUGGGUUAAGGCGCAACUAUUAUUAUUGCAAUAAUGUUGUGAUGUCUCAUAAUAUUGCUCUUUCUUGGAAACAAAGAAGGGCACAAGGAUAUAAUGGUGUUUGCUUGUGUUAAUUAUCAUAUAACUCUCAAAUUUUAUUCAUAGUACUAAGGUGUUGGCACAUUUUGCAAAACAUAUCAAUGUGGGAAAUUGUCAGCUGAAGUUUAAUCUUGACCAACCAAAAUUAAUGGUCAGUGGUUGUUAGACAAUACUAACCAUGAACUAUCACUAUUGAGUUGCCUUGAGGCCAUCAAUUUACUCUUUUGUCUUUAUUUUUUACAUACUCUUGUUGACCCAUUUUACUCUUAAAAUCUGACUUCACUUUGGCCCUUUUCUUUAUUUAGUUUUUUUUAAUAUGGUCUUUGGAGAGGUUUUAGAUAACUUUAUUCAUUUUUUUUGAAAGACAAGAUAAUUUUUUUGCUUUCUAUAUUCCAAAAAGCUAUUUUCUUUGGAAUCAAAAAUAAUGCCAAAGCCUUAAUGAAAACGAUAUGGGGUGUAUUACGUGAACCAAAACAACUCAACGUGGUAAAUUCUCGUUAACAAAGAUUUUUUUAUUUGGCACAACCUCAUACAAAUGUACAUUCAAGAAAGUUGAUUAUAAUUAUCAUUUACUGAUCUAUAUAUAUAUUCUCCUUUGGCAUUCAUUCAUAUAUAUAGUCAUAUGCUCAUCUAAAAUCCAAUUCUUCUUCAUUUCGCUCUUCGCUCCUAUCAUAUUAGUAAUGUUCAACCUAUAUCUUUCUUUUCCAACCUCAUAGUUUUCUAAUUGACUACUAAAAUGAUCUUUUUCCGUUUUGCUUACAUGUCUAUGACUCCGAGACCCUAUCUUAUGUUUUCUUAAGUGUGUUCCUACUUGUCAAUCCUAUAAUACACGUAUCUCAGCUAUGAGCAACCUUCAUCUUCCAACAAUGACUUUUUUUAGAAAUCCCAAUACCUUACCCAUAGAUUAGUGCUUAUUCAAUAGAUGUCGAUUGAAUUUCUCUUUAAUCUUAAUGCAACACUUUGGUCACCCUUUAGCUACUUCUUUUUGGAAUAAAGUUUUAAGUUUUCUCGUUUUUUUGAUAGUUAGAUGAUGCUAUGUUGAUCUUCUUGGGUACCUUGAUAAAUUCAUGCUGAGUUUGGUACAUAAAUUUAACUAGUAAUAAGAUGAGCUUGAGGAUUCGUCUUUCUUAUAAUAAUUUUGUAAGAAUUACUCCAAAAUGAUUUUCUUUGAAGGGCAUAAGAUAUUUACUAUUAAGUGUAGGAAUUUAAUAACCAUGGCCUCUUGGUAAAUUACAAGUUUCCUUGUUAGUUAAAUAUUGUUUAAUACCUAUGAAAUUAGCAAGGGAAGUAACAUCUUGUCUAUGAGUUACAAAUUCCUGUGGGAGUUUAAUUUCAGUUGCAACCAAGUGCCUCUUCAGAUUUAGAAAUUGCAAAUGUAAUCAAAAAUUUAAGAGUGAUGAUUUUGCAAGUUUGAACGUUGUGGCGAUUUCCUUUCCAAAAUAAGUCUUUUUGGCUUCACUUUAUUAAGAGCAAAUAUGGUUGAUGUUGAAAUGGAAUAGAUCCUAAAAAGCAAAAGUGUUGUGUAUUACAGUUCAUUGAAGCUUCAUAUUUGAUCUUUCUCUCUUUUUGUGAAGCUUUACUUUAUUGACCCUUUGUAUCCUUGUCGACGCAAGUCACAAUACAACAAUCUGAGCAGUUGUGAAUUACGUGUUUAAUAUGAUUGCAGUUGCGUGUAGAUGGACUGAAACAUUUGUGACUAGCCCUAUAUCAAAAAUUGCAAUUUGAAUUGACUAACAUAUUAAUCAAAAUGUUUGAACUUUCCUCCAGCUUGUUUGGAAAACGACUUAGUAGGCUUAAUUCCCAAGCAUGAAUGUUUGUUUGGCCAUCUUUUGCAAUGCGUACUCAAUCUUGUUCCCAAUCAAAUCCUUUCUUUUUCAUCUCUCUCUCUUUUUAUUUUUGGAGCCUCUUCUUUUUCUCUCUCAUUGAGUAUUUUUCUCUCCAUAUGUUAACUUCCCUCCUCUCCUAUUUCUUGUCUGGUUUAAUGUAAAGGUAGAAAAGCUAUGCCUUUUUUUUAUAAAAAAUUGUGAUAUUUACAAGGGUUUGCCCAUGAUUAGAUAAUGUGGGAGUUGACUUUGAUUUUAUUGGUGGACAUGGAACCAGUGUUUAGAUAUACAACUCACUCUGAUAACUUUCUACUUUAUCUUGUACUAUUAGUUGACCAAUCCACUAACGCAUUUUCCCCUUUUAUUCUAUCAAAUUGCUUUUGGAGAUUAAAAUUCCUUUUUGGUGAAGGUCUAGUGCAGUCACUGGUACUGAGAGGAAUAGCAUAUUUGACAUGUUUAGCUAAUGAAUGUUAGGGUUGGCUAUUUCAAUUCUUGUCUCCUAUCGUGUUCUUGUGAAGCUAGUAGCGCAUCUGCUGAUGGAAUUUGGUCACUUUGAACCUUGAGAUUGUAUAAUAUUGUUUGUUAGGAAUUAUUGAUAUCCAAUUGCUAAUAACAUGAAAGACAUAGAUGAGCAUGUUAGAGUUCAAAUAACUUUUUUGAUAUUAGCAGAAAUGUAGAUGUGAAAAAUUUUACCCUAUAGAAAUUAGAAAGGACAAAGUUACAUGCAGUGAUUUCCUGUAAGACUAUAUCAGUUUCUAUUUAUAUUUAACUUUUUUUGUGUUUACAUCUUAGCUAGGAUGACAUUGUUUUUUUAAAUCUUUGUUUGUCGUUGUUAUCACUGCUCUGUGUGGUACUUGCACUUUUACUUUUUUUUACUUAUUUGUGGACAACCUUCUUUGAUUAAGGACUAUUUGGUGAAGGGUUUCAGGAAUAGGAAAGGGCAUUUAUAACCUUGAUUACAUUACUGCUAAUUUGAUGUGCAUUAUUAAAUUUCGCUUCCAUCUUUUGCUUCUGGAGUGCUUCUGAAUCCCUCUACAUUCCUUUCUCCUAAAUUGAGACUCCUCGGUAUAAACAAUCACCAACUAUUGACAAUUAAUCAUUGCCAUCCACCACCAUCAUCACCCCACAGUAAACUCAUUUUUGAAGGGUUGAACCACUACCCUAACUAACCCCAUGCUCAACCAGAUUAAAGGGCUUUUUCUUAAAUCGCCUCUUUAUGUAAUAAUAUGUACACUAAAAGCAAAAAUUAUUUUGCCCCAUGUCCAUCAUGAACCAAUAGUCUACUGCCCACAAUCACUAUUCAGCUCAUGCCAAUCCCGUCAUCAAUUCUUUCCUCUUGUUUACUCAAAAUGGAACCUCCUAAGUCCCACCAUGUCCUCUAAACUUGCCUGAAAGCAAGCUUCCUAUCCUUAUCAUACACUAUAGCAAACAAGCUUUACAAGAGGAGAAAGAAAAGUAAGGAACCAAACUUACGAGUUGAAGGACAAUGGAAUUAAAGGAGAGAUGUUACAUUGUCUAUCUUAGAUGAAAGUGGUCCAAAAGGUUGUUGAGCACUUGAGGAUGGUGAUAUUGAGAGUUUGAAUGGCUAUGGAGGCAGGAAUCGAAUAAUGACUCUAAAGGAGUCCUUUAUUCUUCAUUUGUACAAUCCCUAGUUUCCUUUUGUUACCUUACAUUUUUCUUUCCUUGUUCCCUUCUUUCUCUUCAUCCAAAUAUAUUUUUUGCAUAUAUUAUUACUUACAUCUUUAAUCCUGACCUUUUUGAUAUGUUGUGUCUGUUGAUUGUAAACUUUUUCUUAUAAUUGCUUUUAUUGUCUCCAAAAUUUCAACUUUCAGUUGUCAUAUAUUUCUCUCCAUAGAUUUCAGGACUUAUAUUUUGCCUUGGAUAUUUUAUAAAUUGUCUGCUAAUCCAUAAUCAAUUAGAUUUACAACUAAUUGUUUUUGGAAUUUUAAGAAGUAUCUAAAACUUCACAUUGUUUAAAGAACCAUGAAACUUUUUAAGUAUUUGUUUAUCUUUGAAAGUUGAUACCUGAACAUGACACUUUUAAAAUAAAUUGAUAUAUGUUACCAAAGGAAUACAACUUACAUGCUUUUCAAACAAGACUUUAAUGUUAUUAUGCAUUUUUCUGAUCAUGUGGAAACUUGUCUUUAUUACUUUCACGCUUAUGAUAUUGUUAGAAGAUUUUACCAGUUCUGCUAACUUUUACAGAUUAUAGUGAUUAUUGACCUCUCAUAUCUUUGGGGAGUGUAAUUGUAAGAAUCAGAGGGAUGGGAAUAAUACUUACAUAUUUUUCCUACAACGCUGAUGAUAAUUGGAAUUGGUUUUCUUAGUUGUAGAUCAAUAUAAGAUAGGUCCGAAUAAAAUACAUUGUUUGUCACCGAUGGUCUGUCAUGUUAUUUUUGGUUCAUAUAGUCGACCCUAUAUGUCGGGAUAAAGCUUUGGCUUUCUCACGACGAGCAAUUAAUGUAUGAUUCUUGGUUGAAAGAGAUUUUAUUAGUUCAUAAAGCUUAGUUUAUGCUCAUGCUAGUGAGCAAGUCUACCCCUAUUUGUAUUACACAUACCUUUAUUUCACAUCUUGGAUUCACCAUUUGAUUCUCUUCCGCUUUGGCCUUAUUAUAGCGGUCAAUUACGGACGUCAUGCUGGCAAAAAGAAUACAAAGUGUGGUCAGAAUUUUCUAGUUUUAAUAUUUAGCACUACGAAAGUCAGUUGCACAUUGCAUAAAUUUUAUUUGUUGAGCUCUUUUUGGACUUUCACCUUGUUAUCUACAAUUUAAAAGUUAUCUAAUCACUAUGAUAAUAGUGUUGUGUGGUGCUUGAAAUCAAUAAGUUUGUAAUUAUAAUCUCAAGCAUCAAAGUCACAUCUUGAGUAAGCAGAAACACCUUUGAACCAGAUUGCUGAUCACAUAUAUUAAGUUGCAACUUACUGCUAAACCAAACUAUACAUAUCCAUCAGGUGUUGGAACAUCCUAUCUUUAAUCUCCUUAUAAGUGUAAUCUCUAUAAUAAGGUACAAAUGUCCGUUAUGCAUAGCUUUUUUUUACUAGAGUAAACCUCUUGUGACUAUUGUUGUUAUAGUCAAUUUUUAUAAAUCUCAUGUUUUCGGGUGGAGUACCUAGAUUUAGAGGUGUUUAUUCCCACUUGUGAUUAGGAAAUGAUGUGUUGUUUCUAAGGAAAGAUGAAAAGAAGGUGAUGAUUGUAAAAGCUGUUUCAGUUCACUCAUAGUAGAUUCUAUUGAAGGACUACGACAAUGUCACAAUCAAAUCUAGAUGAAAUCUGUAAUCUGUAAGUAAUUGACUAUAGAUCAACAUUGUAGUCUUGUAAAACAAAUUGGUUAGUGCUCUUGGGAUAGAGAUGUUGACGAGUGUAAGGAUGUACCAGGAGGCUUUAUGGCACAAUAAUGCCAAAGGAAAACUAAUUUCAUAACAAGGUACUAUUGAGGUGUCGAUUUGGAUGGUUAUAUUUUAUACAAUGCGACAACUUGGUUGAGUUUCAUUGUUUCUUAAAGUGUUAGACUUUUGAUGGUAUGUAUCAUUGAUUAGUGUUUUUAUUUUGUUUUGAAAGAGUAGGAAAGUAAAACUUCAGUUGAGCAUCAAAUAUCUUGCAAAAUAUCCCUAGCGCAUAUUGUCAAUUUUCUCUCCAUGUUUGCAUUUCCAUGUUAAAAUUUAUGUCAUCUCACACUGAUUUACUAUCUUUUUGAUUAUUCAUUUCUUGCAUUUUGUUGCUUGCAGGGUUAGGAGCUGUUCAAAUGAGACAUUUGAUACCUAUGCUAUGCAUAUUAUUGGCUAAAUUUUUCAAUGAAUGGCAAUAGGGAAUGAAAUACUGUUUAAUAAUACUUUUUUUUUAAUGUCUACGGAUUUGGGAAAGUCAAAUCGUAUAUUAUAUCUUGAAGCUGAAGAAUCCAUAUUAACUGCUUGGUAGCUAGAAAUUAAAAUUCUGACCUAAAGCAAGAAGGGUUCGAUUGACUGCUAUUCUUGAAGCUUAAUGUCAAGGAUUUGAUUGUAUCAAUGGGUUCAAGUGAUGCCAUAUUACAUCUUUAAAGAGACAAUGAAUAAGGAGACGAGACUAUGGAAUGAUGAUUGAUAUACUUCGAAGCUAUGUUAAACUAGUUACAUCAGUGCCAAAAGGGUGGAAUCUAAAGGUGUUGAUGAUCUCAAUGGUCUAUUGUUGUUGCACCAUCGGUAAAUCGAUAGAGUCAGAUUUUGUUUGUGGCUAUUUCUGAAGCAUGUAUGUGGUAUUGAUUUUUGUGAAAUAUUUGGCGGAGAUAAAGAUGAUGCAAACCCAAUAUUUUCAUUAGAGGAAUGGCAUAGUGCAAUGCUACUAAGCUAAAAACUACACCUUUUAACAUUACCAAGCUCAUCAGGUGGUGUAGUAUCACAUUUGGAGUUUGGUUGAUAAUUGUGUGGUUUUUGGAUUUGAGUUUCGUUUAGAAAAUUUCUGUUGACAUGUUCACUACCCAAGUUGAAUAUUUUUUGACAAGUAGAGCAUGUAAAGUGUAGUUUCUUAAAUUCUAAGAUUAUUCCUGCUGGGUUGUUUUGACUUCGCUUACAGGAAAGGGAAAAGGAAAGAAAACUAAAAAGGAACAAAAGAUUAGAUGGUAGAGACUAAAGAGCAUAUUGUUAAAAGUUUUUGUCGAGAAAGUUGUUAAAGAAGCUGAAUAGGAGAUGACUUUGGAUGCGGAGCUGGACAAAAAUGGAAAAUUAUAUUAUUCACAAAUUCUUGUAUGAGAUGGUCUCACUGUGAGACAUGUCUCAUACUUGGGUUAAAUAACCCAAUGAUAGAAACUUUUAGCUUAUGAGCUACUUUUUUUAAGGCCCUCUCACCGUGAGACGGUCUCAUACAAGACGGGCUGUAUAUUAUCUAAAUAGAUAAGGAGAUUUCGGAGGAAUCUAGGGGCAAUAUCGUCGUAAAGAGGGGCACAACGUGGUCGAAUCUGGAGUUCAAGAAAUAAGUAAUGGAAAAAAAAUGCUAUCGUGCAUUAGGAAAAUGCAAGAUUAAUGAAAAAUUAGCUAAACAAAAGGAAGUUAUAACCAAGGCAAAGGUUCACGAGACAAAAUUAAGCACUUCUAUUUGACAAAUUCGAUUAUGAAGAAGGAAAAAAAGACAUCUAUAUCUAUAGAUCCUAAAAUCAAGCAAAGACAAAAGGCAUCAUUAUAGUAAAAUGUAUAAAGGACAAGGAUAAUAAAUUAAUAAAGGAUCAGACAUCAAGAAUUGAUGAAGAGAGUAAUGAAGAACAAGGAAAUCUUGUUAGAGAUGUAACCAUCACCCCGGAGGAAGAAACAAGGAAAUUCAUGCUAAGAAUAAAAAAAUCAGACUAUAAGAGGUUGAGGGGGUUUUAAAGAAAAUAAAGCUAAAGAAAACAAUGAGGCCAAAUGGUAUAUAUUGUGGUAUAGAGAUGCUAAGAGUUGAUUGGAGUUACUUGGCUAACUGAUUUAUUAUCUAUUUAACAAGGUUUGGGAGAAAGAUGUCCAAGUAAUAAAUAAGACGAACUCUAGUACUCAUUAACAAGAAUAAAUAAGAUAUCCAAUAUUGUUUCAACCAUCGAGGAAUAGAACUCAUGAAUCAUACUAUAAAGUUAUGAGAAAGCGUGAUAGUUUUACAUAUCAGAAGCUUUGUAACCAUUUUAUGAACAAAGGAGAUGUCCAAGAUGGUUCUAGCUAUCGAGGAAUAAAACUUAUGACUAAUACUAUAAAAUUAUGGAAAAGCAUGAUAGAAUAAAGUAUAAGGAGAUGUACUGAUAUAUCAGAGAACCUAUUGCCAGAAAAAUCCACAAUGGUAACAAUUCAUAUUAUGAGACAAAUGAUGGCGUGUUAAAAAGUUAGAAAAAAGACUUGUAUAUGGUAUUCAUUGAUUUGAAAAAGGCAUACUACAAAAUAUCAAGAUAUUCAUUUUGGAGGGCAGUGAAAUAGAAGGGUAUUCUCAGAAAAUAUAUUAAUAUAGUGCAAGGCAUGUACUGAGAAGUGAAGACACAUGUUAAGACAUGCGUUGCAAAACAUGAUUUUCCAAUCACAAUUGGCCAAACCAAGGUUCGACAAUAAGCCUUUUCUUAAUGCAGCACUUUUAGAUGAGAUGUUUCGACCGUCUCAAGGAGACGUGUCUUGGUGCAUGUUGUUUGCCGAUGACAUUAUUUUGGUAGACGAGACUGCUUAGGAGAUAAAUACUAAUUUAGAACGAUGGAGACAAGUGUUUGAGUCACAAAGGUUUAUAUAAAGGCGAAGUAAGACGGAGUACAUGAGAUGUUAAUUUACCACAAAUGAAAUAAGUAGAGACAUUAUAAAAUUAAAAGAGAAAAAAAAAAGUUCCAAAUAAAUUUUUUAAGUACUUUGGGUCCUUAAAACUAAAGGACAUUUUUAUCGAACAACCAUUAAACCAAUGCUACUAUAUAAAUUGGAAUGUUUGUCUUUUGGAAAGGAUCAUUGUAAGAAGAUGAGAGUAGUGAAAGUAUGAAUGCAUCAAUAGAUGAGUGGGGAUGCCUUAAGAGAUAGGAUUCAGGCGAAGAUAUAAGAAAAGGUUUUCGAGUCACAAAUAUUGAGGAACAAAUGAAAAAAUGUUCAACAUGGUUCAAGCAUUUGCAAAGACAAAAUAUUAGCGAACUAGUAACGAAGACAGAAAGGUGAAAGGAAUGGGAAAAAAAAUCCAUGUAGAUUACUGUUGAAAAUGAUUUAGUGGUUCAUAUAGUCAACCUCAAUCUUUUGGAAUCAAACAAUUUUGGAAUUAAUCUCAUGGUGAUACUUGCAAAGUCGUCUUCUAUGUGGGAGGUUUUAUAAUGCAAGAUUUUUUUCAGAGAGUUUACAAGUGUUGGAGUUGCAUGAAAGAUCAUCAGUAUCAUGCAUUAAUCCCAAAAUUCGAGGUUUCUACAAGAACCAAGUAGCAAGAUAGAUCAUCAAGAGAUUAUAAUACAUGAUUCACUAAUCUUAUCAUGAAUUACCAAUGAAAAAUAAAUCAUAGUCAAUUUUGGGCUAUUUUUGAGCAAUUUUGAGCAAAUCACACAUUUAGAAAGUGAAUUAACUCAUGGAUUAUGUUACUCCCUCCUUUUCAUCUGUGAGUUGCGUGUAUUUUAAAUUAAGGAAUGUUUAACAAAUAAUAAUUUGCAUUGGUAAAACAAAAUCAACCAUAAUUGUUGUCCAAAAUGAGGGUAUGUAAGCAACAAAUACUUUUCAAAAUGCAAAUGAUUCCAUUAGGAUGAACAAUGUGAAACUACUUGUUAUACUUAAGUACACGAUCUUUUGAAACUAAAGACGAACAUUGGAUUAUAUUAUAUUUGAUUAUAUAUAUUACUAACAUACAACUCAAAAAAUCAAUUUUGAUGAUCCUCUAUAUUAUGCACUCCUUUUGAUCAUUUCUAUUUAUUGUCAUAUGGUCAAGCAUUUUUUAGUUCUUCAUGUCAUUAUCACUAGUCAUGUAGGUCGAUUUUUUGCUAGCCUAUUUCCUUUCCAAGAAAUUUUCUUACACUAUAUUUGGAUAAUAAUUUUAGAGAGAGAAAGGAAAUGAAGGAAAAGGGAGGGGGAAAGGAAAGAAAGAGAUAUUGAAGGAAAGUAAUUCUUGUUUGUUUAGGAGGGAAAGGGAAGGAAAAGGAAAGAAAAUGAGAGUUUUCCCUUUAAAUUUUUCGAACUUUGGAAUUAUUGAUACCAUGACAAAAAUCAUCCAUCUAAUCCUCCAAAUCCCUCCUCUUCAAAUCCCUUUCCUCUCAUUUUGUUAUCCAAACAAGGAAUUUCUUAUCCCUCCAAAUCAUUCUCCUUCUUUUUCCUCCAACUCCUUCCAUCCAAUCAUAAUGUUAAUGUUUUAGUUUUAUACUUUUGUGAGCUGUUCAUUUGAACGUUUUCACCUUUUUAAACUUGUAUGUUUCUGGUCAUCUGCCUAAUAUCUAUGACUUUUAAAAUUUUGUUUUUUUUAUAUUGAAUUGUAUCAUUUUAGGAGAUGCUCAAACAUUUUAGACUCUUUUAUGGAGUUGUGCUCCACGAUAUAUAUGAGUGUCAAAUAGGGAUUACUAAUAAUCUUAAACCAAAACCAAAUUCAUGGAUCAUUAUUUGUAUGAUAGGGUAUGAAUCACAUUUUUAGACUAGAUAGAUACGAGUGGAAAAGAAUUUUUGCAAAAAUUAGUUUUAGAUUUAGAUCUUAAGCUAAGAUCAGAACUCGAACCCAAAGACUAGUAUUUUUAAAAAAAUAAUAUUAAUUUUAGCAAUCAACACCUAAAGUAGCACAAGUCUAAAUCCUAGUUACAAGAAAAAAAAAAAAAAAAAAAAAAAAAAAAAAAAAAAAAAAAAAAAAAAAAAACCUUCCCAGUGAAUCCUUUUAGCAAAAACAUUGUACUCAAAACACCAAAUUACCUUAUUGAACUUUUUUUAAUAUGUAUUUUUCUCUUAGGUUAAUUAAUUGACUUAUAUCUAAAUUCAUGAGAUCUGUAAAUAUAGGCCUGAAUCUUAAAUUUAAGACCCGCAGAUCCAAGAUAUAUUCAGAUUUAAGCUCGGAAAAUGAAUUUGGAUCUGGGCAAAGGUGAACCCUACUUAUUCAAUCUACUUUCACCUCAAGGUCAAGUAACAUGAGAGAUCAUCAAAGCUCAGCUUUAAUGGAGUUUGUUGAUGACUUGAGUGAACCACGGUGAGUGUAUGAUGAUGCUUGAUGGUGUAUAGUACCUUUGGAGAUGUGUCUGACGAGGUAAUGCAAUGCAAUGUGAAGGGUAAGUCCUUGCUGCUACAACAUGUGCUCAAACAAGGCACACAUGAACUACACCAUGCCUUGAAUGAGACACAAUCACACAAAACAUCAGCUUUCCAGAGUGCUCGUACGAGCGACCUGUCAGUGAGUCACCCUUUAAUUCUGCUACGUGAUGUUGUUGUUCCCUUCCUUAUUUGUCGUGGGCCUUUUUGCUUCAAUCAUUAGGUCAUUGUCCCUAGUAUAAAUAGAAUGCUAUUUUUACUCACUUUUAAGUUGAUUUUAACCCAUUAAGAUCAAACACACAACCUCUCUUUUCUUCUCUACUUCUCUAGUGUAAUUCCUCAAUUAUAAGACUUCUUGAAGAACUCCAUUGAUUUUUCUCUAAUAUAAUCAAGCUAACCAUCACCGAGAAUGUAGCCUACAUUGAGUGAACCUUGUAAACUUUGUGCGUCUUGUAUAUUGUUUUAUUUCUUAUUGCAUUUUCAUUCUAGUUCAUAGUAGAAGUUGCUUCACGAUCUAGAACACUUCUACCAUUGUUCUUGGUUGGUGUAGGGAUAAAGUUUCAAUCUUUAGUCCCUAACAGGCUUGUUAUUCAUAUUUAAGCUCGGAAAUAAAUUUGGACUUGGGAUCACUAGGCAAAGGUGGAAUCUACUUAUUCAAUACACUACCUUCCCCAGGGUCAAGCAAUAUGAGAGAUCAUUAAUGCCAAGCUUAAAUCUAAUUUUAGUCUCGUGUUUUAGGAAACCUAAUAAUAUUCGCUCAUUUGAUAUUUCAGAGAUAUGGUGCUUUUUUCAAUUAGGGCUUUAGCUACUAUGUCAUACUUAGCACUUCACUAGGGGCUAUGAGUAAAAGUAUGAAUCACUUACUUAACUCGUAACCACAUUCAGGUUAUAUUGUGCAGUGUUUCUAGGCGAUUGAUGGUUGAAGCCCUAAGAUAUCAUGAAGUUUAACUAUAAGUUGAUGGUUGAAGCCCUAAGAUAUCAUGAAGCUUUAACUAUAAGUUAAUGGUUGAAGCCCUAAGAUAUGUUAUAUAUUCUAUUACGUAACUUUACAAGAGCCAUUUGAAUUAGAAGUGAUGGAUGAGAUUCAAAUAUAUAACCCUUUUUUUAUGUUAGCUUAUAAUAUCAUGUCUAAUUUUAAGCUGAUAUUGAAGAUCUUACACAUGUUAGGUACUCUAAUAAAAAUUACAAUAUUUAUCAUUUUGGGAUAUUCCUUUUACUUUGUUACACUACUAAAUUUGACAAUAAAUCUACGUCCUCUAAAGUCUAACCUAAUUGCAUUUACUAACUCAUUUUCCUUCUUUAUUUCCUCCACAUAUUCCUUUCUUCAAUUUAUUUGUCUUAUUCUCUUAAUAUUAGUAAUUAUUUUGACAAUAUGUGAAAAUGUUGUGAGCGCCCCAUUGUUGGUCCAGGCCAACAAAGAAACAUAGGUGAGAGAUCUUUGUGACACUCACUAUAAAAACAUCGUCAAAAUUUCCAACAUAAAUUGAACUCUCAUGUCAUGAAUAUGGGGGUGUGCUGUCCCCUACUCAUUUUUGUAGUACACUUUUCAAACCCAAAUUAGUGAAAAGUAUGUAUGAGUUUUAAUGUUGUUAAUAGAGCAUAUAUAUAACAUAUAUGCUAGAAUUGUUGAUUCUCUUGUCAAUUUUAGAAGGACAAUGGGAAUAGUUGCACAAAUUUUCAAGAAAGGAAUUUAAGUUAUUUGAGAAAGUGCCACAAAUAACAUCCUUUUUAGAACAGCACCAUAUCCUAUGCUAUCCUUAUUGAGUGACCAUGUGACAAUGUACGUACUAACUUAAGAUUAUGCAACUCUUAAACGUAGUUGUGGUAAUACUAAUCUCUUUUUCUUUAAGUAAAUAAUAUAUAGUACUAUUUUCAUCUUAUCUUCUGAUAUCCACCAUAAUCUGUCUGCUGCCUGGUGUCAGUUGAUAGUACUCGUAACUCGUCUGUUUCACUAAUUUUGUCCUUAUGAUAAUUAAUGGAGAAAUUUAAAAAAAUAGAUAAAAGUGAUAUAAUAUUUUAUGGAAAGCAUAAGAAAUAUGUAAAUGGGAUAGAUAAAAGUUUUAAAUAAAUAUAGAUUAUGACUAAAAAUAGAUCUGAGAUUAAUUUAAUAGGACAAACAACAGUACAUAUGCCAACUUUUGUGUGGAAUGAAAACAUUAGUGUCUACUGUCUUGAUUGAAAUGCAAAAUUAGUCUUCCUUUGUUUCCCAAUCAAAUUGGUCAAUAUUUGAAAAUUUGUUGUGGUGACUUUAUUUAAACUUUUAUGACUAGAUAUUAUUAGUAUUAAGUAAGAAGAACAGAACAAGAUCUAAUUUUUUUUCUAAGAAAGUAAGAAAAUGAAGCAAGUAAUAAUAAUUAUAUAAAUCUUUGUUUUAUAAAUAAGAUCUUGCAUGUACAAAUUAUAACAUCAUCAAUGGCUAAAUCAAUUUCAUAUAAUAUCAAACACCAACACAUAUAUUAUCCUAAUUAAAGAUACAUUUGUUUUUAAGAUUGAUUAACGAUAUCCUUAAUUAAUUAAUUAAGUCUAAUCAAUAAGAUAAGAUAAGAUUAGAAAAAAUAAUUGAAAUAGGGAGUAUUUAACUACCACAAACCUGUUAUUAGCAAAAUCAUAGAGUUUCCCAGUACUGGAGAAGAUUAUAACUCCAACUUGAGCAUCACAAAGAAUUGCCAAUUCCUUUGCCUUCUUCAAAAGUCCAUUUCUUCGUUUCGAGAAAGUUA